UAGGCAUCAGACACAGUUUUGUCAUUUAGCCUCCGGUAGUCGACACAAAAACGUGUCGUGCCAUCCUUCUUGGGUACUAGCACUAACGGCGAUGCCCAGGGGCUAUCGGAAUGUUCAAUAACCCCUAGCUGCAACAUCUCCUCAAUCUCCUUCCUCAUAUGUUCCCUGACUGCUUCAGGGAUACGAUAUGGGGUCUGCCGCAUAGGUAGCUGUCC
Non-coding RNA from Pelobates cultripes (western spadefoot toad), 215 nucleotides. NCBI's taxonomy places the organism in Eukaryota, Metazoa, Chordata, Amphibia, Anura, Pelobatidae. The record is from the annotation of a GenBank genome assembly.